GAUGAACGCUGGCGGCGUGCCUAAUACAUGCAAGUCGAGCGAACAGACGAGGAGCUUGCUCCUCUGACGUUAGCGGCGGACGGGUGAGUAACACGUGGAUAACCUACCUAUAAGACUGGGAUAACUUCGGGAAACCGGAGCUAAUACCGGAUAAUAUAUUGAACCGCAUGGUUCAAUAGUGAAAGACGGUUUUGCUGUCACUUAUAGAUGGAUCCGCGCCGCAUUAGCUAGUUGGUAAGGUAACGGCUUACCAAGGCAACGAUGCGUAGCCGACCUGAGAGGGUGAUCGGCCACACUGGAACUGAGACACGGUCCAGACUCCUACGGGAGGCAGCAGUAGGGAAUAUUGCGCAAUGGGCGAAAGCCUGACGGAGCAACGCCGCGUGAGUGAUGAAGGUCUUCGGAUCGUAAAACUCUGUUGUUAGGGAAGAACAACUGUGUAAGUAACUAUGCACGUCUUGACGGUACCUAAUCAGAAAGCAACGGCUAACUACGUG
This 497-nucleotide ribosomal RNA is filed under the name uncultured bacterium. Its description in RNAcentral is "partial 16S ribosomal RNA". It matches the Rfam family "Bacterial small subunit ribosomal RNA", at positions 28 to 507 of the family's 1533-position model. The record is from RNAcentral.